Molecule: ribosomal RNA, 253 nt
Filed under: uncultured bacterium
Lineage: Bacteria
Description: partial 16S ribosomal RNA
Rfam family: Bacterial small subunit ribosomal RNA
Source: RNAcentral
UACGUAGGGGGCGAGCGUUGUCCGGAAUGACUGGGCGUAAAGGGAGUGUAGGCGGCCUUUUAAGUUAUGUGUGAAAGCCCACGGCUCAACUGUGGAAUUGCACAUAAAACUGGGAGGCUGGAGUGCAGGAGAGGUAAGCGGAAUUUCCAGUGUAGCGGUGGAAUGCGUAGAUAUUGGGAAGAACACCGGAGGCGAAGGCGGCUUACUGGACUGUAACUGACGCUGAGGCUCGAAAGCGUGGGGAGCAAACAGG